Molecule: long non-coding RNA, 303 nt
Filed under: Callithrix jacchus (white-tufted-ear marmoset)
Lineage: Eukaryota; Metazoa; Chordata; Mammalia; Primates; Cebidae
Description: lncRNA (ENSCJAG00000085598.1)
Source: RNAcentral
AUGAAAGGAUUGGAGGCAACUGAAGAGAAAUCACUCCUGAAUGCAAUAUGGACCCUGGAGCAGAUAAAGGACAUUACUGAAAAACUGGAUGAAAUCCCAACAUGUCUCCUUGUCACCUAUGUCUGUCCCUUCAACUCAGGACCCACACUACAACUAAAUGAUCUUUUCAAAAAGCAAAACUGAUCAUACCAACCACUGCCUCUCAGCAGUUGUAGAACAAUACUGUUCAAACUGGCAGUCCUCAGUCACAUGUAUCUACUGAACACUUGAAAUGUGGCUCUUCUGAAUCGAGACAUGCUGUAG